CCUACGGGGGGCAGCAGUGGGGAAUAUUGGACAAUGGGCGAAAGCCUGAUCCAGCCAUGCCACGUGUGUGAAGAAGGCCUUCGGGUUGUAAAGCACUUUCAGUGGGGAAGAAAGCCUUGGGGCUAAUACCCUCGAGGAAGGACAUCACCCACAGAAGAAGCACCGGCUAACCCCGUGCCAGCAGCCGCGGUAAUACGGAGGGUGCGAGCGUUAAUCGGAAUUACUGGGCGUAAAGCGCGCGUAGGCGGUCUGAUAAGCCGGUUGUGAAAGCCCCGGGCUCAACCUGGGAACGGCAUCCGGAACUGUCAAGCUAGAGUGCAGGAGAGGAAGGUAGAAUUCCCGGUGUAGCGGUGAAAUGCGUAGAGAUCGGGAGGAAUACCAGUGGCGAAGGCGGCCUUCUGGACUGACACUGACGCUGAGGUGCGAAAGCGUGGGUAGCAAACAGGAUUAGAUACCCCAGUAGUC
This 465-nucleotide ribosomal RNA is filed under the name Vreelandella stevensii. RNAcentral's name for it is "partial 16S ribosomal RNA". It matches the Rfam family "Bacterial small subunit ribosomal RNA", at positions 338 to 795 of the family's 1533-position model. The record is from RNAcentral. Lineage: Bacteria; Pseudomonadati; Pseudomonadota; Gammaproteobacteria; Oceanospirillales; Halomonadaceae.